AACCACACUAUCAAUGAAUGGAUUCACCUGCGAGAUGACAUGACUGUUUCACCUAGAAUGAGGACAUGACAUCCUCAUCCUUGAUGCCACGUCCUCAUCCUUGAUGGAACAACCACGUUAUCUCAUGGGUGAAUCCAUUCAUCGAUAAUGUGGUU
MicroRNA precursor from Oryza sativa Japonica Group (Japanese rice), 155 nucleotides. It matches the Rfam family "MIR807 microRNA precursor family". NCBI's taxonomy places the organism in Eukaryota, Viridiplantae, Streptophyta, Magnoliopsida, Poales, Poaceae. The record is from Rfam.